RNAcentral lists this ribosomal RNA (488 nucleotides) under Bacillus sp. R-46141. RNAcentral's name for it is "bacterial SSU rRNA". It matches the Rfam family "Bacterial small subunit ribosomal RNA", at positions 10 to 478 of the family's 1533-position model. Lineage: Bacteria; Bacillati; Bacillota; Bacilli; Caryophanales; Bacillaceae. The record is from RNAcentral.
AGUUUGAUCCUGGCUCAGGAUGAACGCUGGCGGCGUGCCUAAUACAUGCAAGUCGAGCGAAUGGAUUAAGAGCUUGYUCUUAUGAAGUUAGCGGCGGACGGGUGAGUAACACGUGGGUAACCUGCCCAUAAGACUGGGAUAACUCCGGGAAACCGGGGCUAAUACCGGAUAACAUUUUGAACUGCAUGGUUCGAAAUUGAAAGGCGGCUUCGGCUGUCACUUAUGGAUGGACCCGCGUCGCAUUAGCUAGUUGGUGAGGUAACGGCUCACCAAGGCAACGAUGCGUAGCCGACCUGAGAGGGUGAUCGGCCACACUGGGACUGAGACACGGCCCAGACUCCUACGGGAGGCAGCAGUAGGGAAUYUUCCGCAAUGGACGAAAGUCUGACGGAGCAACGCCGCGUGAGUGAUGAAGGCUUUCGGGUCGUAAAACUCUGUUGUUAGGGAAGAACAAGUGCUAGUUGAAUAAGCUGGCACCUUGACGGUAC